CCUACGGGAGGCAGCAGUGGGGGAUAUUGCACAAUGGGGGGAACCCUGAUGCAGCGACGCCGCGUGGGUGAAGGAGCGUUUCGGCACGUAAAGCCCUAUCGGCAGGGAAGAAGAUGACGGUACCUGACCAAGAAGCCCCGGCUAACUACGUGCCAGCAGCCGCGGUAAUACGUAGGAGGCAAGCGUUAUCCGGAUUUACUGGGUGUAAAGGGAGCGCAGACGGCAAGGCAAGCCCGGAGUGAAAGCCCCGGGCCGACACACGGGACUGCUGUGGGAACCGCGUGGCUGGAGUACAGGAGAGGUAAGCGGAAUUACUAGGGUAGCGGUGAAAUGCGUAGAUAUUAGGAGGAACACCAGUGGCGAAGGCGGCCUGCUGGACUGUGACUGACGUUGAGGCCCGAAGGCGUGGGGAGCAAACAGGAUUAGAUACCCGGGUAGUC
RNAcentral lists this ribosomal RNA (440 nucleotides) under uncultured bacterium. Its description in RNAcentral is "partial 16S ribosomal RNA". It matches the Rfam family "Bacterial small subunit ribosomal RNA", at positions 338 to 795 of the family's 1533-position model. The record is from RNAcentral.